This is a long non-coding RNA of Manduca sexta (tobacco hornworm), 816 nucleotides long. RefSeq lists it as uncharacterized. The record is from RefSeq and is a predicted model, not a curated record. The transcript is spliced from 2 exons. NCBI's taxonomy places the organism in Eukaryota, Metazoa, Arthropoda, Insecta, Lepidoptera, Sphingidae.
UUGUUGACGGCUCCGCUAGUGUGCCUAUUACAUUAUAAAAAAAAAACAUGUUUCCUUCUGUAAAUGUUCAUAAACUGCAGCCUUUAUUAGUUUUCAUUAUACUAUUUAUAUUUAUGAUUAUGGCGAUAUAUUAUGUACAAUGCGUCACAAUUCAUUGAAUCAUUUAAAUCUACGAGCAGACAAUAAUCUGUAUUACUCACCCAAUAAACCCAAUAGACACAGGUACAAGGUAGACAUGAGCCUGUGCUUUGUACCGCCGCGCCGGUAAGCAUUGACUCCGCUAAUAAGCAGAAUAUUAUGCAUAUCAAUCACAUUUAUUCGAUUCAAAACUAAAAUAAAACAUUCAAAAUUUAUCUCCCCCGAGGAAGCAAAAUCCUACAUGUGUCCGCGAUGCUUACUAAUAGGUACAAUAAUAUUACUAACUGAUACCUGCAUUGAACACUACGCCUACUCGAAAACGUCAAUAUACAGUAGAGACGUUUAAAGAAAACAAACUACUUUUACAUUAUUAGCGCUAUUUUAUGAGCGUCAUGUGUAAUUCAGAACCUAUAUUGGAGCUUCGUACGGAGUGACCUUCUUCAGCUGUUUUUACGUAUUCUACGAAUUGUGCUGUGGCCGCGUCCUGAUCCAGACGAUCGUCGAGGCGUGUUCCCGUCCUAGGCUGCGACAGCAAAAAGUCUGAAGCGCAGAAGGAGUUGGACCCGCGAAGCCAGGGGUGUGGCCUUUAAUUUCGGGGACGAGUAAGGAUGUGAGACCGAGGGCGAAACCCACAACCACAAACUUUAUUUUUUAAUAUUAUAUAUUUAUUUUUGAUAA